This 1060-nucleotide long non-coding RNA is filed under the name Callithrix jacchus (white-tufted-ear marmoset). RNAcentral's name for it is "lncRNA (ENSCJAG00000082927.1)". Lineage: Eukaryota; Metazoa; Chordata; Mammalia; Primates; Cebidae. The record is from RNAcentral.
AUCUUCUUUUUUUAAGUAAACGGUACCAUUUUUCAAUAAUCUGGUGUUACUUUUAUGUUUUCAUUUGGAGCAAAAGACAGUUCAGAUGAUGUUUAAGCAAGCGACAUUUCAAUUAGGGAAUGGAGACAGAUGCACAGCCAGGUGCUGGGGCUGCCCUGUGCCCGGGAGAGGCUGAGCAUAGUCAUUCUAUGUCUCCAUGACAACACCCGUCUCACCUGCUGAGCCCUGGGCAGAGAGUCUGAGUGUGGAUUCCAGCUUGAGCUCAUUUCUCUAAGUUCACCUGCCAGCCAACAUCUGAGGAAUUUCCAGUUUAGAAUUAUUAAAACUAGGGCUGAAUGAACACCACUGUGAGUCUUUGGUGAGCGUGUGUAUGCAUUUCUGUUAAGGAGGAAGGGAAUUGCUGGUGAGGACAAAUUUUAAGGAGACUAACAAGAGAGAGUACUAAAAAUAUAAGAACAUAAUUCUGCAUUCUGAAGGAAGGGUUAAGUAAAGGCCCAAUAAUUACUGGUUAUGAUUCUUGGAUGAGAAGGUUGAUCAAGUCAAUAUUUCUAAACAAUGUGCAUAUGAAUUGCUAUGGGCUGAACUGUGUUCCCCCCAAAUUUCUAUGUUGAAGUCCUAAGUCCCAUGUGAGAAUGUGACUGUGGUUGGAGAUAGGGUAUUUCCAGUCAGUAUGACUGGUGUCUUUAUAAGAAGAGGGAAUCUGGACACAGACAGAUACAGAGGGAAAGCCAUGCAAAGACACAGCAAGAAGGUGGCCAUCCACAAGCCAGAGAGGGAGGCCUGACACAGAUUCUUCCACACAGCCCUCCGAAGAAAUCAACCCUGCUGACACCUCCAACUUGGACAUCCAGACUCUGGAACUGUGAGAAGGUGCUGCCAGUCCAUGGACCGUACUUUGGGUAGCAGGAGUCUGGAGUUGAGGUGAGAAAUGAGCCUUAGACUUGCCUUUUUGACUCAGACUGAGCAGCAGCUGCUCCUGGCUCUGUUUUGGAGUCACAGUUCAUCCCCUGUUACAUGAGCCAUUUGUAACACGGCUCUUUUAUAAAAUAUACCUCGCUAG